GAUGAACGCUGACAGCAUGCUUAACACAUGCAAGUCCACUUGAACUUCGGUUUGGGUGGCGGACGGGUGAGUAACGCUUAAAGAACUUGCCUCACAGAUAGGGACAACAUUUGGAAACGAAUGCUAAUACCUGAUAUUAUGAUUAUAUGGCAUCGUAUAAUUAUGAAAGCUAUAUGCGCUGUGAGAGAGCUUUGCGUCCCAUUAGCUAGUUGGAGAGGUAACGGCUCACCAAGGCGAUGAUGGGUAGCCGGCCUGAGAGGGUGAUCGGCCACAAGGGGACUGAGACACGGCCCUUACUCCUACGGGAGGCAGCAGUGGGGAAUAUUGGACAAUGGACCAAGAGUCUGAUCCAGCAAUUCUGUGUGCACGAUGAAGUUUUUCGGAAUGUAAAGUGCUUUCAGUUGGGAAGAAAAAAAUGACGGUACCAACAGAAGAAGUGACGGCUAAAUACGUG
This 454-nucleotide ribosomal RNA is filed under the name uncultured bacterium. RNAcentral describes it as "partial 16S ribosomal RNA". It matches the Rfam family "Bacterial small subunit ribosomal RNA", at positions 28 to 507 of the family's 1533-position model. The record is from RNAcentral.